RNAcentral lists this ribosomal RNA (478 nucleotides) under uncultured bacterium. Its description in RNAcentral is "partial 16S ribosomal RNA". It matches the Rfam family "Bacterial small subunit ribosomal RNA", at positions 28 to 523 of the family's 1533-position model. The record is from RNAcentral.
GACGAACGCUGGCGGCGUGCUUAACACAUGCAAGUCGAACGGUAAGGCCCUUCGGGGUACACGAGUGGCGAACGGGUGAGUAACACGUGGGUGAUCUGCCCUGCACUUCGGGAUAAGCCUGGGAAACUGGGUCUAAUACCGGAUAGGACCACUGCCUGCAUGGGUGGUGGUGGAAAGCUUUUGUGGUGUGGGAUGGGCCCGCGGCCUAUCAGCUUGUUGGGGGGGUGAUGGCCUACCAAGGCGACGACGGGUAGCCGGCCUGAGAGGGUGACCGGCCACACUAGGACUGAGAUACGGCCCAGACUCCUACGGGAGGCAGCAGUGGGGAAUAUUGCACAAUGGGCGCAAGCCUGAUGCAGCGACGCCGCGUGAGGGAUGACGGCCUUCGGGUUGUAAACCUCUUUCAGCACCGACGAAGCGCAAGUGACGGUAGGUGCAGAAGAAGGACCGGCCAACUACGUGCCAGCCGCCGCCGUAA